Molecule: ribosomal RNA, 253 nt
Filed under: uncultured bacterium
Lineage: Bacteria
Description: partial 16S ribosomal RNA
Rfam family: Bacterial small subunit ribosomal RNA
Source: RNAcentral
UACAGAGGGUGCAAGCGUUAAUCGGAAUUACUGGGCGUAAAGCGUGCGUAGACGGUCAUGUAAGUCGGGUGUGAAAGCCCCGGGCUCAACCUGGGAAUUGCAUUCGAGACUGCAUGGCUAGGGUGCGGAAGAGGGAAGCGGAAUUUCCGGUGUAGCGGUGAAAUGCGUAGAUAUCGGAAGGAACACCAGUGGCGAAGGCGGCGCUCUGGGACGGUACUGACGCUGAGACGCGAAAGCGUGGGGAGCGAACAGG